AACGAACGCUGGCGGCAUGCCUAACACAUGCAAGUCGAACGAGACCUUCGGGUCUAGUGGCGCACGUGUGCGUAACGCGUGGGAAUCUACCCUCAGGUUCGGAAUAACUCAGAGAAAUUUGAGCUAAUACCGGAGGAUGACGUAAGUCCAAAGAGUUAUCGCCUGAGGAUGAGCCCGCGUAGGAUUAGGUAGUUGGUGAGGUAAAGGCUCACCAAGCCGACGAUCCUUAGCUGGUCGGGGAGGAUGCUCAGCCACACUGGGACUGAGACACGGCCCAGACUCCUACGGGAGGGAGCAGUGGGGAAUAUUGGACAAUGGGCGAAAGCCUGAUCCAGCCGUGCCGCGUGAGUGAUGAAGGCCUUAGGGUUGUAAAGCUCUUUUACACGGGAUGAUAAUGACAGUACCGGGAGAAUAAGCUCCGGCUAACUACGUG
This 433-nucleotide ribosomal RNA is filed under the name uncultured bacterium. Its description in RNAcentral is "partial 16S ribosomal RNA". It matches the Rfam family "Bacterial small subunit ribosomal RNA", at positions 29 to 507 of the family's 1533-position model. The record is from RNAcentral.